GACGAACGCUGGCGGCGUGCUUAACACAUGCAAGUCGAACGGAAAGGCCCUGCUUUUGUGGGGUGCUCGAGUGGCGAACGGGUGAGUAACACGUGAGUAACCUGCCCUUGACUUUGGGAUAACUUCAGGAAACUGGGGCUAAUACCGGAUAGGAGCUCCUGCUGCAUGGUGGGGGUUGGAAAGUUUCGGCGGUUGGGGAUGGACUCGCGGCUUAUCAGCUUGUUGGUGGGGUAGUGGCUUACCAAGGCUUUGACGGGUAGCCGGCCUGAGAGGGUGACCGGCCACAUUGGGACUGAGAGAGGGACCAGACGCCUACGGGAGGCAGCAGUGGGGAAUAUUGCACAAUGGGAGGAAGCCUGAUGCAGAAACGCCGCGUGCGGGAUGACGGUCUUCGGGUUGUAAACCGCUUUAGCCUGUGACGAAGCGUGAGUGACGGUAAUGGGUAAAGAAGCACCGGCUAACUACGUG
This 468-nucleotide ribosomal RNA is filed under the name uncultured bacterium. RNAcentral's name for it is "partial 16S ribosomal RNA". It matches the Rfam family "Bacterial small subunit ribosomal RNA", at positions 28 to 507 of the family's 1533-position model. The record is from RNAcentral.